GAUGAACGCUAGCUACAGGCUUAACACAUGCAAGUCGAGGGGCAGCAUUUCAGUUUGCUUGCAAACUGGAGAUGGCGACCGGCGCACGGGUGAGUAACACGUAUCCAACCUGCCGAUAACUCGGGGAUAGCCUUUCGAAAGAAAGAUUAAUACCCGAUAGCAUAGUAUUUCCGCAUGGUUUCACUAUUAAAGAAUUUCGGUUAUCGAUGGGGGUGCGUUCCAUUAGAUAGUUGGCGGGGUAACGGCCCACCAAGUCAACGAUGGAUAGGGGGUUCUGAGAGGAAGGUCCCCCCACAUUGGAACUGAGACACGGUCCAAACUCCUACGGGAGGCAGCAGUGAGGAAUAUUGGGUCAAUGGACGAGAGUCUGAACCAGCCAAGUAGCGUGAAGGAUGACUGCCCUAUGGGUUGUAAACUUCUUUUAUACGGGAAUAAAGUGGAGUAUGCAUACUCCUUUGUAUGUACCGUAUGAAUAAGGGA
This 480-nucleotide ribosomal RNA is filed under the name uncultured bacterium. Its description in RNAcentral is "bacterial SSU rRNA". It matches the Rfam family "Bacterial small subunit ribosomal RNA", at positions 28 to 493 of the family's 1533-position model. The record is from RNAcentral.